This is a long non-coding RNA of Drosophila subpulchrella, 1064 nucleotides long. RefSeq lists it as uncharacterized. The record is from RefSeq and is a predicted model, not a curated record. Lineage: Eukaryota; Metazoa; Arthropoda; Insecta; Diptera; Drosophilidae. The transcript has 3 exons.
AGAUAUAUUUGUAUCUUUAGGCCAUCUGAAAUUAUAUUCUAAGUAUUAUUUUUUCAGAAUACUAACACUUUGGUUACCACAUAAGCAGCUGAAAAUCGUAGGGUUGGCAGAAGGUCCUACCUCCCCUUAGCUUCCUAGAUCCUAAUCCGCCUGAGUUGCCCUCAUUAACCGCGUAAUUGACACACAUACGAAUCGAAAUGUAUCCGAAUUCAAUGGCGAGUACCUUCAAUUGCCGCGUCCCGCAUUCGCAUUCAAGGAUUUUUCUUCCCAGGCUCUCAAAACGGCAAACACCCACUUUCUCACCCACCGCUGCUGGUACCCACAUAAAAUAAAGUUAAAUAAGUACUUGGUGGUUACGCAUUGACGUCAUCGACCGGAGGAAUCAAUUAAUUUCACUUUAAACUCUACGGAUAGAGGAAAGGACUCUGGGAAAAUGCAAUCCUUUUGCGAGGGGUUGGCUGUAAAUCUUAGAUCUUAGAUGAAGAGGGGCUCUCCAGAUGGGUCAUCGCCUUCUCACACUCUUCUACGGAUUGAAUUGCAUGCAUGUUUCUCGUUUUUCCACAAUUUUUAAUUAGCAGUAAACUUUGCGCGGCCCCGAAAAACAAAAGAACCCGAAACCAAUUCGAUUUGAAACCGAACCGAAAAGUAAUGACAGCAUAAAUACUUUUCAGAGUGGUGGUUCUGCAUUGUGUACAGAAUUUGGUGGUGCAGAGUGAUGCACAUUUUGGGGUCGCCACAAAACAUCGGACUCUCGCAAUCGGAAUAGGAAUCCAAAUCGAGAUCUCAAGUGUUCUCUGUUCUGCGGCCGCCUCUGCCUCAUUUCGUUUAACACUUUAUGUGACAUUUAAGUGCCGGGGAGAUGUCAAAUUUCCUCCUCCCCGUCUCCAAAAAUGCAUGUACCGCGGUCUGAGCCCCAUUUUCCCCCAAGAUUUUUCAAGGGGUUAGAACUUGAUUGGGGCGGUGGUUUAGUCAAGUGUCUGGCUUUUGUGUGGGAAGAUUUUCCCCCCUCGGGAAAAGUGUUCCUCUCAGGCGCAAAGUGCGAUUCCUGGUUGGAUUUUCAUGGA